ACAAUAUGCGGUUGGCAUGACGGUACCCAACCAAAAAGCACCGGCUAACUUCGGGCCAGCAGCCGCGGUAAUACUAAGGGUGCAAGCGUUAUUCGGAAUUACUGGGCGUAAAGCGCGCGUAGGCGGUUGUUUAAGUCUGGUGUGUAACCCCGGGGCUCAACCUCGGAACUGCACUGAAAACGGGUGAACUUGAGUGUGGAAAAGGGAAUUGAAUUUCCUGUCUUAGGAUUAAAUGUGGUAAAGGUUGGACGAAGGAUCCAUGCUGAAGCUAACUUCCUAGACCGUGACUAACACUCAGGAUCAAAUCCCUGGGUAGCCCACGCCAUAAACUACCCUGGUCUUCCACCCCCUAACCAAUUCGACCUGGUCUUUGGUAACCAUUUUCCCCUUCCUCCCGAAGCUUACGCUUUCAUUUCUCCCCCUGGGAAUUAUUGUCGCAGGACUGCACCUCAAAUGUAUUCACGGGG
This 467-nucleotide ribosomal RNA is filed under the name uncultured Pseudomonadaceae bacterium. Its description in RNAcentral is "bacterial SSU rRNA". It matches the Rfam family "Bacterial small subunit ribosomal RNA", at positions 453 to 918 of the family's 1533-position model. Lineage: Bacteria; Pseudomonadati; Pseudomonadota; Gammaproteobacteria; Pseudomonadales; Pseudomonadaceae. The record is from RNAcentral.